CCUACGGGAGGCUGCAGUGGGGAAUAUUGGGCAAUGGGCGCAAGCCUGACCCAGCAACGCCGCGUGAAGGAAGAAGGCCCUCGGGUUGUAAACUUCUUUUAUCAAGGACGAAACAAAUGACGGUACUUGAUGAAUAAGCCACGGCUAACUACGUGCCAGCAGCCGCGGUAAUACGUAGGUGGCAAGCGUUAUCCGGAUUUACUGGGUGUAAAGGGCGUGUAGGCGGGACUGCAAGUCAGAUGUGAAAACCAUGGGCUCAACCCAUGGCCUGCAUUUGAAACUGUUUCCCUUGAGUGUCGGAGAGGUAAUCGGAAUUCCUUGUGUAGCGGUGAAAUGCGUAGAUAUAAGGAAGAACACCAGUGGGGAAGGCGGAUUACUGGACGAUAACUGACGGUGAGGCGCGAAAGCGUGGGGAGCAAACAGGAUUAGAUACCCCGGUAGUC
Molecule: ribosomal RNA, 443 nt
Filed under: uncultured bacterium
Lineage: Bacteria
Description: partial 16S ribosomal RNA
Rfam family: Bacterial small subunit ribosomal RNA
Source: RNAcentral